RNAcentral lists this ribosomal RNA (425 nucleotides) under uncultured bacterium. RNAcentral describes it as "partial 16S ribosomal RNA". It matches the Rfam family "Bacterial small subunit ribosomal RNA", at positions 354 to 796 of the family's 1533-position model. The record is from RNAcentral.
GUGGGGAAUCUUGCGCAAUGGGCGAAAGCCUGACGCAGCCAUGCCGCGUGGAUGAUGAAGGUCUUAGGAUUGUAAAAUCCUUUCACCGGUGAAGAUAAUGACUGUAGCCGGAGAAGAAGCCCCGGCUAACUUCGUGCCAGCAGCCGCGGUAAUACGGAGGAUGCGAGUGUUAUCCGGAUUUAUUGGGUUUAAAGGGUGCGUAGGCGGACAGUUAAGUCAGCUGUUAAAGGACCAUGCUCAGCGUGGGAAAUGCAGUUGAAACUGACAGUCUAGAGAGUACAUAAGUCAGUUGGAAUUUGUGGUGUAGCGGUGAAAUGCAUAGAUAUCACGAAGAACACCGAUAGCGAAAGCAAGCUGCCGGGGUGCGUCUGACGCUGAGGCACGAAAGUGUGGGUAUCGAACAGGAUUAGAUACCCUUGUAGUCC